CAGCCGUAAACGAUGCGCGUUAGGUGUAUCGACGACCACGAGUCGUCGAGGUGCCGAAGGGAAACCGUGAAACGUGCCGCCUGGGAAGUACGGUCGCAAGGCUGAAACUUAAAGGAAUUGGCGGGGGAGCACCACAACAGGUGGAGCCUGCGGUUUAAUUGGACUCAACGCCGGAAAUCUCACCGGAUAGGGCAGACAUAUGAUAGUCGGGCUGAAGACUCUACUUGAUGAUCUGAGAGGAGGUGCAUGGCGUCAGUGACU
This 261-nucleotide ribosomal RNA is filed under the name uncultured archaeon. Its description in RNAcentral is "partial 16S ribosomal RNA". It matches the Rfam family "Archaeal small subunit ribosomal RNA", at positions 748 to 1008 of the family's 1478-position model. The record is from RNAcentral.